UACGGGGGGGGCAAGCGUUGUUCGGAAUUACUGGGCGUAAAGGGCUCGUAGGUGGCCAACUAAGUCAGACGUGAAAUCCCUCGGCUUAACCGGAAAAGUGCCUUGGAUACUGGUGGUCUCGAGUGAGGUAGGGGCAUGUGGAACUUCUGGUGGAGCGGUGAAAUGCGCAGAUAUCAGGAGGAACACCGAUGGCGAAGGCAGGUCUCUGGGCCAUAACUGACGCUGAGAAGCGAAAGCAUGGGGAGCGAACAGG
RNAcentral lists this ribosomal RNA (253 nucleotides) under uncultured bacterium. RNAcentral describes it as "partial 16S ribosomal RNA". It matches the Rfam family "Bacterial small subunit ribosomal RNA", at positions 524 to 776 of the family's 1533-position model. The record is from RNAcentral.